RNAcentral lists this small nucleolar RNA (114 nucleotides) under Mus pahari (shrew mouse). RNAcentral's name for it is "snoRNA (MGP_PahariEiJ_G0034569.1)". The record is from RNAcentral. Lineage: Eukaryota; Metazoa; Chordata; Mammalia; Rodentia; Muridae.
CCCUGCAUCCGAAAGUGAUCUUGGCUGCUAUGCCCCGUCAUUGGUAGUGCAGGGAAAGGAUGCGGAGCUCGGGGCGUCUGGCCUGACCCCUCCAGAUCCUGAAGCUUUCCUACA